RNAcentral lists this ribosomal RNA (431 nucleotides) under uncultured bacterium. RNAcentral describes it as "partial 16S ribosomal RNA". It matches the Rfam family "Bacterial small subunit ribosomal RNA", at positions 29 to 507 of the family's 1533-position model. The record is from RNAcentral.
AACGAACGCUGGCGGCAGGCCUAACACAUGCAAGUCGAGCGCCCCGCGAGGGGAUCGGCGGACGGGUGGGUAACGCGUGGGAAUAUGCCCUUUGCUACGGAAUAGGCUCGGGAGACUGGGGGUAAUACCGUAUACGCCCUAUGGGGUAAAGAUUUAUCGGCGAAGGAUUAGCCCGCGGUGGAUUAGGUAGUUGGUGGGGUAAUGGCCUACCAAGCCGGCGGUCCAUAGCUGGUUUGAGAGGCUGAUCAGACACACUGUGACUGAGCCACGGCGCAGAAUCCUAGGGGAGGCAGCAGUGGGGAAUCUUAGAAAGUGGGGGCAACGAUGAUCUAGCCAUGCCGCGUGAGUGAUGGAGGCUUGAGGGUUGUAAAGUAAGUUAAGCUGGGAAGAUAAUGACGGUACCAGCAGAAGAAGCACCGGCUAACUCCGUG